GGCGGUGUAGCUUAGCUGGUUAGAGCGUCCGGUUCAUACCCGGGAGGUCGGUGGUUCGACUCCACCCGCCGCUACCA
This 77-nucleotide transfer RNA is filed under the name Eubacteriales Family XIII. Incertae Sedis bacterium. Its description in RNAcentral is "tRNA-Met". It matches the Rfam family "tRNA". Rfam says of the family: Transfer RNA (tRNA) molecules are approximately 80 nucleotides in length. Their secondary structure includes four short double-helical elements and three loops (D, anti-codon, and T loops). Further hydrogen bonds mediate the characteristic L-shaped molecular structure. tRNAs have two regions of fundamental functional importance: the anti-codon, which is responsible for specific mRNA codon recognition, and the 3' end, to which the tRNAs corresponding amino acid is attached (by aminoacyl-tRNA synthetases). tRNAs cope with the degeneracy of the genetic code in two manners: having more than one tRNA (with a specific anti-codon) for a particular amino acid; and 'wobble' base-pairing, i.e. permitting non-standard base-pairing at the 3rd anti-codon position. Lineage: Bacteria; Bacillati; Bacillota; Clostridia; Peptostreptococcales; Anaerovoracaceae. The record is from RNAcentral.